Athene cunicularia (burrowing owl) is the source of this 1605-nucleotide long non-coding RNA. NCBI's taxonomy places the organism in Eukaryota, Metazoa, Chordata, Aves, Strigiformes, Strigidae. The record is from Ensembl.
UCUGUUAAUUGGGGACAGCUCCUGCAGAUUAAUGACAAAAUGGGAAAGCUGAUAACCCUUUUACCUGGGGCCAGCAGCUCUUGGCCAUCUCUUGCUGGAAUUACUGUGUAAAAAACUUCAUUUUAAACAUUAAAAGCCUAUCUUCUUUCUUAUACAGAAAUGUGCAAAAGCACAAAUUCCCUUCUGAAUUUCAAAGCUUCUCAUUUGCACGUGCUCCCAUUACCCACUAGAUAGUAUGCAGAGCACCACAUUGGUCCAGAUUUCCCCGACUUCUCCUGAUCGUAUCUGAACUAGUGACUUACACCAUGUAUCAGCAAUGUGGGCGACGGCAUGGUACUGCUUAAACAGGGAUGCUAAUAGGAUGCUGUUGUCCUCUCCCUGCAGAACACCAUGGCGGAUGCUCCCCAGAGCUUGCAGUGCACGUCUCCCGGCGCCAUGGCAUCCCCUUCUCCAGCCCGCCUCACACACGGCUGCAGGAGAGAAGAGGCCCAGCGGUGGCUGAUGACUCUCAGUCCCUCCUUUGCCCGCAAAGCCACGAUGAUAGUGUAUUUGGGGAGACAGAAGCAGGCUGCACGAGCACAGUAGCUCCUCCGGGGAUUUGACUGUUUCUGAGCUCAGGGUNNNNNNNNNNNNNNNNNNNNNNNNNNNNNNNNNNNNNNNNNNNNNNNNNNCUCGGGCACCGAGCGGUGGGUUCUGAUGUCACCGAGGGAUGGACGGCGACAUUCCCAGGCGGUGGGUGGGGACCGCGCGUCCCUCGCUGCUCGUGUCCGGGCACCAAGUCUCACCCCGCUGGCUCGUGCCCGCGCUCCAGCUGCGCGAGUGUGCGAGGUUGGAGUGCGGAGCGAGGCUGUUGCUGCUGCGGGGGAAGAUCUUCACUGCAGCUCUCAGUGCCCGACCCCAGAGCCAUUGAGGGAUUUUCCCCGACACUGCCGGGAUCAAGCAGCCGUGGCACCCAGGAGGCGCGCUCGCAGCAGCAGAGUGUGCAGCGGCAGUGAGCAGGAGCAGUUCAACAUCCCCAGCUCCCCCCAGCCCACCGCAGCAUGUGGAGAGCAUGGCCACGGAGCUGGAGAACUGCUCUCCAGUAUGCCUGGACAGCUGGGAGAAGCGCAGCUACGUACUGCCAUGCCUCCACCAAUUCUCCUGCCUGUGCAUCGUGCGGUGGGCUGAGAGCAAGCCCGAGUGCCCCCUCUGCAAGAGGAAGGUGAGAUCCAUCUUGCACUCAGUGUGGGCAGACAACAGCUUUGAGGAGUAUGUCAUCGCACCACCUGCAGCACCGUCAUUUACCGUCCGCCUGACAGGAGGAGCUUGCGGACACCCAACCGCGCCCAGCUCCCGUGGCUCCGGUGGGCGGCUUCUGUGCCUACAUCUGGGCAUCCAUCUUCUGCCACUGGCCCGCAGUCCUCCAUCCCUCACUGCCCUGGCUGCAUCAGGUGCUGGGGCAGCUCUUCGAGGAUGCCCAGGAAGCAGCAGCAGUGCAGAGCCUCGUCUUAUCUAGCCUGCUCUACUUUGGCCCGGAUAAGGAGGCUCUGAUCCAGCUGCUGUGGGACACCCUAGGCAGGCACACGAGGAGCUUUGUCCACCAGCUUGUGCACACCGUCUUGUGCC